Chelonoidis abingdonii (Abingdon island giant tortoise) is the source of this 2109-nucleotide non-coding RNA. NCBI's taxonomy places the organism in Eukaryota, Metazoa, Chordata, Testudines, Testudinidae. The record is from RefSeq and is a predicted model, not a curated record.
UGAAGGGGACAUGCCCCAUUCAGCUGCUGGACCCCUUCUAAACAGGCUCGUUCAUCUAGGUUCAGCCAAACAGUAUCCAUGGUGUGAGGUUGAGGGAUGCGAGGUCGGGAUGCAAGAGUCGGCUGUGAUCCUGUGACAGCAGAUCCGAUCGGUUUGGCAGGGGCCAGGGAGCGACUGCUGACAAGCUUGAUAGCAUUCCAAACCAGUGCUGGUGAGGCCAUGCUGGGGCGAUCAUGAUAACCUGCGCCUUGUCCCUCUUAAUUUUUGCUAGGACCUUGCUGAUGAGCGGAAUCGGAGGGAACGCAUACAUCAGGCUUCCUACCCAUGGCAGGAAGAAGGCGUCGGAGAGGGAGCUCUUGCCCAGACCCUGUGUAGAGCAAAACCUGGGGCACUGCCUGUUCUGCCUGGUGGUGAACAAAUCCACUUGGGGAGUUUCCCACCUCUGGAAGAUUAUGCCAGCAACAUCCAGGGGAUCCACAUACUUCGGGUCUGGAGGGUACUGAGGUGUGCCCCCACAGCCGAGGUCCGAGUGCUGAUGAAGGGAACUCCUUCCAGGAUUUUUCUGGGGUCGGUCCACCAUCACAGCGAGGUCUAGUCGAAGGAGCCUUGGACUCUCUGCAAUGAAUUCUGCUACCGCCACAGCACCUGUAGGGGAAGAAAGAUCUCCGAUGAUGAACCAUGAGAAUGGAAAAGAAAAAGAAACUGGCUCACAACAUGCUCCCCAUAAACAGGGAAAGGUUCUUAUUUGCGUACUUUAGACAAGGCUUAGUGAGAUGGGGCCCAUUUCUCUUUACAGAAUUUUGUCCAGAUUCUUGCUAUUGUAACAAACUGCUCUACAAAAAAUCGAAGUAUUACCUCAAUUUGUUUUCAAUAAAUUGAAAAUACAACAUCCUGGUCACCCAUAAAUAGAAGUCUGCAAGUAAGGGUGUUAGCACUGAUGCGCUGGCUGUAUUUCAAUUUUAUAAUGCCAUUUUCCCUUCCUACAUUCCAUCAAUUGCUACAGUUUGGAGAUGGUAUUUUUCACUUCCUAGCAUAAACCCAGGUGUUCUUUUAUGCAUUGUUAAGCAGAUGUUUUCUAAACCAAAAGUACCUGCAUUUCAGAGGGGACUCAAUUGUUUCCUGUAUAUGCAGUUUAUAUAGCAUGGGAUCCUUUAAGAUGAAAGAAACUAUAUAAAUCUAACAUAGCAACUGAUACUUUUCAGAUUCCCAUUGAAGUACAGUUUGGAAAACUCAUUUAUACAUACCAAUAAGUUAUUACACGGAUUCCAAAACAUCUAGAUGCUUCAUAAGCAAAUAAACUGUAGGCUCUUUGUGGAAGGAACCAUGUCUUGUAAGACUUUGAGAAGAGAUUACUCACCCUGGGCAGUAACUGUGGUUCUUUGAGACGUAUCCCCCUGUGGGUGCUCCACUGUUGGUGAGCAUGUGCCCUUGAUCAGAGAUUUUCCUUAGUCACAUCCAUUUGGCCUGCACAUGAGCCACUGGUAUCUUCAUGCCCUGCACCAAGGCUACGUUAUGCUGUAUGAGUGAAUUGCCCCCUCAGUUCCUUCUGUACCACCAUUCUCAGAAGAAACUCCAAAGCAGAGAAAAAGAGGGCAGGUAGUGGAGCACUUAUAGGGACACACAUCUCAAAGAACCACAGUUACUGCACGGGGUGAGUAAUCACUUCUCUUCGAGUAGCGUCCUUAUGGGUGCUCCAGUCUUGGUGACUUCCAAGCAGUAUUCCCAGUAGAAGGGGGCUUCAGAAUGGAGUCCAUCACAGACGAGAGAUCUGCAUUGCCAAUUGCAGCAUCAGACCUGGAGGCAUGCACCAAGGCACAGUGUCUAAAGAAAGUAUGUACCGAAGACCAUGUAACGGCUCUGCAGAUUUCUGGAAUGGGAACAUUUUUAAGGAGAGCUAUAGAUAUAGAUUGUGAUCUGGCUGAGUAUGUCAAAAUGCUGGUAGGGGGUGGAAUGUCGACAGCCUGGCAGCAAGCUAUGAAACACUUGGAAAUACGUUCCAAGAGUCUCUGGGUAGAAAUGGUGGAACCCUCAGAUGUGUCUGCAAUCAAAAGAAAGAGUCUAUUGGAUUUUUACAGAAUGAUUUAGUUCUAUCCAGACAGAAGGAUAACG